Molecule: ribosomal RNA, 253 nt
Filed under: uncultured bacterium
Lineage: Bacteria
Description: partial 16S ribosomal RNA
Rfam family: Bacterial small subunit ribosomal RNA
Source: RNAcentral
UACGUAGGGUGCGAGCGUUGUCCGGAUUUACUGGGCGUAAAGGGCGUGCAGGCGGUCUGUUAAGUGCAGGGUGAAAGCUCCCGGCUCAACUGGGAGAGGUCCUUGCAUACUGGCGGACUUGAGGGGGGUAGAGGAAAGUGGAAUUCCCGGUGUAGUGGUGAUAUGCGUAGAUAUCGGGAGGAACACCUGUGGCGAAGGCGGCCCCCUGGGCCGGCCCUGACACUGAGACGCGAAGGCGUGGGGAGCGAACGGG